Molecule: long non-coding RNA, 272 nt
Filed under: Selaginella moellendorffii
Lineage: Eukaryota; Viridiplantae; Streptophyta; Lycopodiopsida; Selaginellales; Selaginellaceae
Description: long non-coding RNA (SMOE_LNC002458)
Source: RNAcentral
CCGCUGGCUUCCCAGUUGCUGGCCUGCAUGGCUCCCGGCUGAUCCGACCUCCAGAAAGGUGAGCUCCAUCUCUCUCGUACAAUUUGGCAAGCUUGCUCAUCGAAGUUGCUCUCGUGACAGGGCGCCGCUGGAGGCAGGACUUUGAUGAGCCUUCCAUCGAGGGAGGAGUUGAAGGUGUCCCAGGCGCUGGGAUCUGGCCAGCAGCUGGAUUGAAAUGCGGUGCACAAACAAUCGUGAUCCAAGGACGACCGGGCAUCGGCAACGAGCAAAAU